This 251-nucleotide ribosomal RNA is filed under the name uncultured bacterium. Its description in RNAcentral is "partial 16S ribosomal RNA". It matches the Rfam family "Bacterial small subunit ribosomal RNA", at positions 525 to 775 of the family's 1533-position model. The record is from RNAcentral.
ACGUAUGGAGCAAGCGUUAUCCGGAUUUACUGGGUGUAAAGGGAGUGUAGGUGGCUAGGCAAGUCAGAAGUGAAAGCCCGGGGCUCAACCCCGGGACUGCUUUUGAAACUGCAGGGCUAGAGUGCAGGAGGGGCAAGUGGAAUUCCUAGUGUAGCGGUGAAAUGCGUAGAUAUUAGGAGGAACACCAGUGGCGAAGGCGGCUUGCUGGACUGUAACUGACACUGAGGCUCGAAAGCGUGGGGAGCAAACAG